Molecule: long non-coding RNA, 230 nt
Filed under: Homo sapiens (human)
Lineage: Eukaryota; Metazoa; Chordata; Mammalia; Primates; Hominidae
Description: HSALNT0223058
Source: RNAcentral
UUGACAGACGAGAAAACUGGGGCUAAGAGGGGUGAGGACACCCCUCUGUCAUGGUGAUCAAGACGGCUAGGGGGCAGGGAAGGCGAGAAGAGGGAGGAGACACUGGUGUGACUCAUAGCAAAGUAAGAGCUUCUUCCCUCCUCUCUGCACCCCAAAUACGGUAAGUCUGUAAGCAGGUGUGGCACACACAGGCAGGAACCUGGGGUUUCCCCCACUUCCAAGAGGGACAG